This 468-nucleotide ribosomal RNA is filed under the name uncultured bacterium. Its description in RNAcentral is "partial 16S ribosomal RNA". It matches the Rfam family "Bacterial small subunit ribosomal RNA", at positions 28 to 507 of the family's 1533-position model. The record is from RNAcentral.
GACGAACGCUGGCGGCGUGCUUAACACAUGCAAGUCGAACGAUGAUGCCAGCUUGCUGGUGGAUUAGUGGCGAACGGGUGAGUAACACGUGAGCAACCUGCCCCUGACUUCGGGAUAACCGCGGGAAACCGUGGCUAAUACCGGAUAUGACGCGCUAUCGCAUGGUGGUGUGUGGAAAGAUUUAUCGGUUGGGGAUGGGCUCGCGGCCUAUCAGCUUGUUGGUGGGGUGAUGGCCUACCAAGGCGACGACGGGUAGCCGGCCUGAGAGGGUGACCGGCCACACUGGGACUGAGACACGGCCCAGACUCCUACGGGAGGCAGCAGUGGGGAAGAUUGCACAAUGGGCGCAAGCCUGAUGCAGCGACGCAGCGUGAGGGAUGACGGCCUUCGGGUUGUAAACCUCUUUCAGUAGGGAAGAAGGCCUUCGGGUUGACGGUACCUGCAGAAGAAGCGCCGGCUAACUACGUG